AUGUUCUCUGACUUCAUCUGCCCUGCUCUUGACCCAGGAGGCUGGCCUCUGCAGGUUCAUCUCCUGGCUUGCCAGCUGGCUUCUAGCUCCACUUGCUCAGUGAGAGGCCCAGGUGAGAGGGUAGGAAGGGAAGAAGGUCGGUGUCUAUCUUCUAAGCCCCGUGCUUCUGCAGUGUGUCUUGGAACCCAAUUACUUCAAACUGUGGCUACAUGGCUUCUGCCAAGCAGCCCUUCACCUGGGGUUCCAGCUCCAGUUAGGCUGGGCCCUGUUGGUAAUGGCCUCCUAUCAUUAAACCACUGGUGCCUCAGCCACUCUAGCUUUUCCUGAAUCCUGCCUUUAUCUACGUCAUAUCGUUACGUCCUUUUUCAUUAAGAUCAUCUGAAAUAAAUCCUUUCCCGCCAGGGCCCAGAUAGAUAAACCUCUGGAUGUUCAGGUCUCUUGUGUCGUCACGGAGCAUCGUGCCAUCAGCACCAGGGAAGCCUUCUUAUCUCUUCAGGCAGGUACAGUCCCCAGUCACAUGACCACAGGUUAGGCAGUCUCAACCUGGCAGCUCCUCAGAAUCACUAGAUUUCAGAACCCAAAUUAUUAUAUGAAACUCUUCUGGGGUGGGGUCCUACAGUUUCUACUUUUAAAAAAGAUCCAUGGAACAAGAAUGGCAAGAUAGUGGUAACUGCUCAGCUUGGGUGAUCAGUACCCGGGGUUCAUUAUACCAUUUUUUCUACUUCUGUGUAUGUUUGAAAAUUUUCACUAUAAAAAAGAUUUAGGUAUGUAAGCUUCUUCACUGAGAAUUUCUGAUUCAAAGCAGGGAUUGGAAAUUUUGUUUUGCUCGUCUCAUCAUUCCCUAUUUCCACUGGCCCCAUCACCCCAUGAUAGGCUCUCCAUCUGUGUAAACAACGAGAUGAGACAAAGAGAUCCAGCAUCUUUCGUUCACUGUAGUCCUAGGUACCAGAGACACCAGACCCCAGUCCCUACCCCUACAGGAUUCUUUUAUAGAUUGGGGUUGAGCAGAUUUGGCCAAACAUCUUCAGUUCAGUUCAGUUCAGUCGCUCAGUCAUGUCCGACUCUUU
This 1067-nucleotide long non-coding RNA is filed under the name Capra hircus (goat). Its description in RNAcentral is "lncRNA (ENSCHIG00010014125.1)". Lineage: Eukaryota; Metazoa; Chordata; Mammalia; Artiodactyla; Bovidae. The record is from RNAcentral.